ACACGCUUGACGGGGUGCCGGUGGAACCGGCUGAGAUCCUGCAUGCAUGCUUCGCCGCCCUGACGCGCGAGCUUGCCAGCAAGGGGUCCCGUGGAACCUGAACCGGUUAGGACCGGCGUAGGAAUCAAGCUGAUGGCCAGC
This 141-nucleotide non-coding RNA is filed under the name Cobetia sp. UCD-24C. RNAcentral describes it as "TPP riboswitch aptamer (THI element)". It matches the Rfam family "TPP riboswitch aptamer (THI element)". From Rfam's summary of the family: Vitamin B(1) in its active form thiamin pyrophosphate (TPP) is an essential coenzyme that is synthesised by coupling of pyrimidine and thiazole moieties in bacteria. The previously detected thiamin-regulatory element, thi box was extended, resulting in a new, highly conserved RNA secondary structure, the THI element, which is widely distributed in eubacteria and also occurs in some archaea. RNAcentral also lists the same sequence under 1 other name. The record is from Rfam by way of RNAcentral. Lineage: Bacteria; Pseudomonadati; Pseudomonadota; Gammaproteobacteria; Oceanospirillales; Halomonadaceae.